RNAcentral lists this long non-coding RNA (552 nucleotides) under Parus major (Great Tit). RNAcentral describes it as "lncRNA (ENSPMJG00000002767.1)". The record is from RNAcentral. Lineage: Eukaryota; Metazoa; Chordata; Aves; Passeriformes; Paridae.
AUGAGAAAGCUUAAAGUGGAUUGUUUGAACACUGAAAAAGCAGGUGGUAGGCUCCGUUUGAUCCCGAAUGAGAGACGGGGCUGGCACAGGGCCCCCGGCCAGGAGAGCGGCAGCGAGGCAGGUCCAUGUGCAGGGCCGUGGCAGGAAAAGCAUGACAGGUGGAGUGGCUCCAGUGCUGUGUCAACCUCCUGCCUCUCACAUCAUGAGGCAGACACUUACAGACAGCUCUUCUGUCACAGGGUGACAGAGUGACAGGGUUCUGCUCCUUCACAUUCCCCAGAAUAAGCCUGUGUGUGCAGAACUGGACACCACCCUGCUGUAAAAACUGUGCACCACCAACAUGCCCCUUCCAGAGACAGCCUGAGGAAAGACCCAGUCAGAAAGUUUGCAAGGGGUGGAGAGGACGAGCAGUGGCCGACCUCAGGGCCAGGGGACCUGUUGGAGCUGUGGGUGAGUCAACAAGGAAUGUCGUCCUCAUUUCAUCUGGUAGCAUUUGGUCCAUUUAUUUUAAUUGCAAAUAAAUGCAAAGCAGAAAGAAAGGGUUGUAGUUAU